This 84-nucleotide transfer RNA is filed under the name Felis catus (domestic cat). It matches the Rfam family "tRNA". Rfam says of the family: Transfer RNA (tRNA) molecules are approximately 80 nucleotides in length. Their secondary structure includes four short double-helical elements and three loops (D, anti-codon, and T loops). Lineage: Eukaryota; Metazoa; Chordata; Mammalia; Carnivora; Felidae. RNAcentral also lists the same sequence under 1 other name. The record is from Rfam by way of RNAcentral.
ACCUGGGUGACUCAGUCGGUUGAGCAUCUGACUUCGACUCAGGUCAUGGUCUUGCAUUUGUGGGUUCAAGCCCCACAUCAGGCC